Molecule: ribosomal RNA, 253 nt
Filed under: uncultured bacterium
Lineage: Bacteria
Description: partial 16S ribosomal RNA
Rfam family: Bacterial small subunit ribosomal RNA
Source: RNAcentral
GACGAACCGUGCGAACGUUAUUCGGAAUCACUGGGCGUAAAGCGCGCGUAGGCGGAACGAUCAGUCCGGUCUGAAAGCCCCCGGCUCAACCGGGGAGGGUGGCUGGAAACUGUCGUUCUUGAGGGCGAGAGAGGAGGGUGGAAUUCCUGGUGUAGCGGUGAAAUGCGUAGAGAUCAGGAGGAACACCCGUGGCGAAGGCGGCCCUCUGGCUCGACCCUGACGCUGAGGCGCGAAAGCGUGGGGAGCGAACGGG